UAGCCGUAAACGAUACUCGCUAGGUGUCGGCCACGGUGCGACCGUUGUCGGUGCCGUAGGGAAGCCGUGAAGCGAGCCACCUGGGAAGUACGGCCGCAAGGCUGAACUUAAAGGAAUUGGCGGGGGAGCACAACAACGGGUGGAGCUUGCGGUUUAAUUGGAUUCAACGCCGGAAAUCUUACCGGGACCGACAGCAACAUGAAGGCCAAGCUGAAGACUUUGCCGGAUUAGCUGAGAGGUGGUGCAUGGCGUAGUCGUGU
RNAcentral lists this ribosomal RNA (260 nucleotides) under uncultured archaeon. RNAcentral's name for it is "partial 16S ribosomal RNA". It matches the Rfam family "Archaeal small subunit ribosomal RNA", at positions 748 to 1009 of the family's 1478-position model. The record is from RNAcentral.